This 301-nucleotide ribosomal RNA is filed under the name uncultured bacterium. RNAcentral describes it as "partial 16S ribosomal RNA". It matches the Rfam family "Bacterial small subunit ribosomal RNA", at positions 509 to 807 of the family's 1533-position model. The record is from RNAcentral.
CAGUCGCCGCGGUAAUACGAAGGGUGCAAGCGUUAAUCGGAAUUACUGGGCGUAAAGCGUGCGUAGGCGGUUUGUUAAGUCUGUUGUGAAAUCCCCGGGCUCAACCUGGGAAUGGCAAUGGAUACUGGCAAGCUAGAGUGUGUCAGAGGAUGGUGGAAUUCCCGGUGUAGCGGUGAAAUGCGUAGAGAUCGGGAGGAACAUCAGUGGCGAAGGCGGCCAUCUGGGACAACACUGACGCUGAGGUACGAAAGCGUGGGGAGCAAACAGGAUUAGAUACCCGUGUAGUCCCUGUCUCUUAUAC